Molecule: ribosomal RNA, 376 nt
Filed under: uncultured organism
Description: partial 16S ribosomal RNA
Rfam family: Bacterial small subunit ribosomal RNA
Source: RNAcentral
GAACCGUCCAAACGUUAUUCGGAAUUACUGGGGCUUAAAGGGGUGCGUAGGCGGCGCGACAAGUCAGAUGUGAAAUCCCUCGGGCUCAACCGAGGGAAUUGCGUUUGAAACUGUCGUGCUUGAGGGAGACAGAGGUGAGCGGAACUGAUGGUGGAGCGGUGAAAUGCGUUGAGAUCAUCAGGAACACCGGUGGCGAAGGCGGCUCACUGGGUCUCUUCUGACGCUGAGGCACGAAAGCUAGGGGAGCGAACGGGAUUAGAUACCCCGGUAGUCCUAGCUGUAAACGAUGAGCACUUGAUUGAAGACCCUCCCAUAGGUUUUCGGUCGAAGCGAAAGUGUUAAGUGCUCCGCCUGGGGAGUAUGUCCGCAAAGGAUG